ACAGAGCAUGUGAUAAGAACUUAUCAGCACUCCCUUCAACGGCAACAAUGAUCUGUGGUCACAUUCAGCCCUAACACUCAUUUCAGAGUGGCCCUUUUUUUCCAGCAGUCAUCUUUCAGUUUAAAUUUGUACAGUGUUGCUACUGCUUACAACAAAAGCAUAUACAAUAAUUAAUCACCUUUAAAAAUGUUUAUUAAGGAUGUGCUGAUUCAUUGGAUUUAAAAACAAGAAAGGUUACAAAUGAGAAAAAAUCCAGAUGAUUUGGUUGCUAGCAGCUACUAGCCUUCUUCAGGUGUCAAUGAAGCCACAACCGUAGAAGGCUCCACUGCUAAAACGUUGCAUUUUCUUUCUUCUCUUUUCAGCAUGGAAUAAACCCAUUUCCUGCUCCCUUGCAGCCUACGCAUGCUGACGCAGCUACUGUACCUACUUGAACUACUUCUUUUAGUCUGUCAAUGUGGGAUGUCCCUUCUCAAACAUGGCAAAAGGAAGAGAAGAAGCCUCUCUGUCAUCCACAUUGCUGGCAGCCUAUUGGGUUGGCACUGUGACAGAAUCUAA
This 555-nucleotide long non-coding RNA is filed under the name Lepisosteus oculatus (spotted gar). RNAcentral describes it as "lncRNA (ENSLOCG00000021911.1)". Lineage: Eukaryota; Metazoa; Chordata; Actinopteri; Semionotiformes; Lepisosteidae. The record is from RNAcentral.